GACGUAGGGCGCAAGCGUUGUCCGGAUUUAUUGGGCGUAAAGAGCUCGUAGGCGGCUUGUCGCGUCGACUGUGAAAACCCGUGGCUCAACCAUGUGGUCUGCAGUCGAUACGGGCAGGCUAGAAUUCGGUAGGGGAGACUGGAAUUCCUGGUGUAGCGGUGAAAUGCGCAGAUAUCAGGAGGAACACCGAUGGCGAAGGCAGGUCUCUGGGCAUUAACUGACGCUGAGGAGCGAAAGCAUGGGGAGCGAACAGG
This 254-nucleotide ribosomal RNA is filed under the name uncultured bacterium. Its description in RNAcentral is "partial 16S ribosomal RNA". It matches the Rfam family "Bacterial small subunit ribosomal RNA", at positions 524 to 776 of the family's 1533-position model. The record is from RNAcentral.